RNAcentral lists this ribosomal RNA (491 nucleotides) under uncultured bacterium. RNAcentral describes it as "partial 16S ribosomal RNA". It matches the Rfam family "Bacterial small subunit ribosomal RNA", at positions 29 to 506 of the family's 1533-position model. The record is from RNAcentral.
AGUGAACGCUGGCGGUAGGCCUAACACAUGCAAGUCGAACGGCAGCACAGUAAGAGCUUGCUCUUACGGGUGGCGAGUGGCGGACGGGUGAGGAAUACAUCGGAAUCUACUUUUUCGUGGGGGAUAACGUAGGGAAACUUACGCUAAUACCGCAUACGACCUACGGGUGAAAGCAGGGGAUCUUCGGACCUUGCGCGAUUGAAUGAGCCGAUGUCGGAUUAGCUAGUUGGCGGGGUAAAGGCCCACCAAGGCGACGAUCCGUAGCUGGUCUGAGAGGAUGAUCAGCCACACUGGAACUGAGACCCGGUCCAGACCCCUAGGGGGGGCAGCAGGGGGGAAAUUUGGAAAAUGGGCGAAAGCCUGAUCCAGCCAUCCCGCGGGGGUAAAGAAGGCCUUCGGGUUGUAAAGCCCUUUUGUUGGGAAAAAAAAGCAGCAGGUUAAUACCCCGCUGUUCUGACGGUACCCAAAAAAUAAGCACCGGCUAACUUCGU